ACACACUGAAUAGCAGGAGAUGGAUUGCACAUCUCUUUUAUCUGCCAAUUGCCUUAUCAAAGGACUUUUCUUGCUUGGCACAAAAAUAAACAUACACAAGCAUUGCCUCUUAAGGAGGGCUUAUUAUCAAAGGACUUUUCUUGCUUGGCACAAAAAUAAACAUACACAAGCAUUGCCUCUUAAGGAGGGCUUCAGACAGGUGCCUGCCCAAGUAACAGGACAGGUCUUCCAGACUACAUGAAGUCAGAG
Molecule: long non-coding RNA, 249 nt
Filed under: Lathyrus oleraceus (garden pea)
Lineage: Eukaryota; Viridiplantae; Streptophyta; Magnoliopsida; Fabales; Fabaceae
Description: Pisum sativum (pea) long non-coding RNA (PSAT_LNC007245)
Source: RNAcentral